UGACCUUGGUGACCUCUCCUGUGACCUUCCAUCUUACUGCUCCAGCAUCUUUCAGCCGGACAGCUAAUCAGCUCCCCGACCCCGGCCCGGUCCCCACCAACACCGACUGGCGGAGGCUCCUUGCUUCUUGCCUGGGUUUCUGCCCAAACCUCCUAAUCGGCCUCAUUUUCUGUUUUGCUAUGGCACCCUCAGUCCUGACGAAAAUGUAAAAACAAACCAAACAAAGAUAAGAACAACUGUCAAAAAAAGAAAGAAAAGAAAGUUUAGGCUCUACCAGCCACGGCCAGUAGAGGUCACAAAAGCGCCUGUUACAGUCACCGAAACACCUGAAUGCUGUCCUUGGACAUUGUUACGCCUUAUGCAGUAAUGACCGCAGACUACGUUUUAUGAAGGCACUUCUCAAAGCGGAAUUACAACUUGUCACAGCAGAGCCCAGAUUCUGAUUGGCCAGACUUUAUUAACUACAUGAUAGACUCUCAGAAAAACAUCUCUCCCAUUGUCAUCUUGGAUAUCGAAGCACCUUAACAGAGCCCAGUCCUGGCUCUGCUGUGACUUUAUUUGGCUUCACAUCUCUCUGCAAGGUGACAAUAUCAGAUUAACCAGGACCACAAGAAGCACGGAUCCACUUUUCACACUAACGUCAAUGGUGAAAUUGAAGAGCAGCUCCACCCCCCUCAGCUGGUUAUUGAUGGUGUAUAUGACCGUGAUGUUGGAUGCUGCGGUGGGGACAGGACUAGGAUAGCUGGGUAGAGUGGCUUGCACCUCAGGAUCUGUGAAGGGCGAAGAGGCCACAUUUGUUAAAGAUUAUGGGGUUUGUAUCAAAGGUGCAAAAUCUGUUGUCAGCAACCCAACCCAGAAAACAUUUCAAGAAAUGGCAAUGCCUUGUGGGUUGUUCUGAGAAACUGGUGUGAUCUGUGAAGUUCCCAUUUCCAUUCUAGGGAACUGAUCGUAGCUGAAGAAAUGACAGCUAGUUUUACAAUGAACAAUUAUUUUGUUAAAAUAAUUUGUAACCUAAAGGGAAGAUUGAGAGCCCUAAGUUAUAUAUUUUACAUGGUAGUCACUGUUCAGUUGUUGUGGAUUUUUUUUGUUAACCCUAAGGAUGCGGAAGCAAAGGUUGUACACUUCAGACUAUUGAACAGAGUACCUGGGCAAUUACUGUGGAAUCCUGGGCGGGACUCCAUGGUCACCUGGCUAAAGCUGGCAAAUCACUGGGAAGCAGCCUAAGGUUAGGGGAAUGUGGCUGUGUCUGGUAUGACUGGGAUUCGGUUACUUGAUUGGGGUCCCUGUGGAUUCUGCUCUGAGAUAGACAAGGAGCUUAUUAAUCUCUGCUUAUCUUAGGAAGUCCAUGCAACAUAAGAUGAAUAGUACUUUAUAUUCGUAUUUGAGUGGAAAGAAGAGUUGGAGGAAUCUGUACCAAAGACUGGUUGUGUCUGGAGUGGUAGAAUUUUUAUGCAGGACUCCCACUUUCUAAAUGCAUAUUUCCGCAUUGUCUCUCUGUAUUAUAUUUGUAAUUGGGCAAAAUAAAGAUAUUUCAAAUAAAAAGGCUGUGUGCCAGGGUUCUACCCCAUCCGUUUGGUGUGCUGUGAGCACCAAGGAUUCAUAUUUAGAUUUCCAAGACUUGGCUGAAAUGUUGACUCUGUUCUUUUACUAAGUCUCUCAGACAAAGUUGAUGGUUGGUUACACUUUCUUUGCUUUUGUAUAUGCCUUCUAUUUCUAUUUAAUAGUUACUUCAUUUCUCCAGAUAUUGUCAUUUUUGCCUACCUAUUUGUCUACCUAUUUGGCUUUGUAAAGAGAAG
Miniopterus natalensis is the source of this 1796-nucleotide non-coding RNA. The record is from RefSeq and is a predicted model, not a curated record. Lineage: Eukaryota; Metazoa; Chordata; Mammalia; Chiroptera; Miniopteridae.